This 27-nucleotide non-coding RNA is filed under the name Rattus norvegicus (Norway rat). The record is from RNAcentral. Lineage: Eukaryota; Metazoa; Chordata; Mammalia; Rodentia; Muridae.
UACGACAAUUUGCUAGGAGAAGCAUUA